Haliotis rubra (blacklip abalone) is the source of this 1036-nucleotide long non-coding RNA. RefSeq lists it as uncharacterized. The record is from RefSeq and is a predicted model, not a curated record. The transcript is spliced from 7 exons. Lineage: Eukaryota; Metazoa; Mollusca; Gastropoda; Lepetellida; Haliotidae.
AACCCUGUGUAUGACAGUACUAUAGAUGUGGACGAGAAACACGACCUUGAGUAUGCCAAUGCAGUAGAUGUGGACGAGAACCAUGAACCUGUGUAUGCGAGUGCUAUGGAUGUAGACAAGAACGAAGACACUGUAUGCACUAGUGCUUUAGAUGUGGGCGAGAAGCAUGACCUCGUAUGCACCAGUGCAGUAGAUGUGGAGGAAGCGAACGAGGACGACGCGGAGAGGGAUGAUGUGAAGGACGACCACAGUGAUACGUACUACAACAUAACAAGUGCUCCUGCAGUAACAUUGGUGUCCGUAGAUCAGCUGGGGAUCGGAUCAAGGAGCUGCAGGUGCCCGUCGGGGAUUCCAAGCAGAGUAUCAGAAGCUACCAACUACUUUCACCCGUUCCUACAACGACUCUCAGCGAGAUGUCAACAAACGGAAAAACAGAUUCCUUAAUUAUUACCCAUAUGAUGACACCCGGGUCAGGUUGCAAACACUGCCAGACAAGCCUGGUUCUGACUACAUAAAUGCCAGCUACAUAGACGGCUACUCCCAACCUAAAGCCUACAUUGCAGCGCAAGGUCCUACUGAACAGACGCUGACUGACUUCUGGAGGUUGAUCUGGGAAAAGAACUGUACAAGAAUCAUCAUGCUGACUAACCUCAUGGAGAUGGGAAAGGUGAAGUGUGUAACAUACUGGUCGGACAAAAGAGAUUUGACUGUGGGGAAUUUCCACAUCGUUGUAACUAACUCCAGUCAGCGAGCACAUUGGGUCGUCAGAGAACUACAAGUCACAGAUAUGAAGACCAGCACUUGUCGGUGCUUCAACCAAUUCCAUUUUACAACUUGGCCGGAUCAUGGGACACCCGAGGAGACCGCCUUGACUGAGUUUCUGUGGCUGGUAAGGAAAGCGCCCAUCACAAAAGAUGACUCUCUACUGGUGCACUGCAGGUAGGGAAAUUAAAGAAUUGCACCCUGAAUUGUUACACUUAUAAAGAACUAUCAUCUAUUUUGGUAACCCACAUCAAAAGUGUAACAGCAUGUACAG